This 375-nucleotide ribosomal RNA is filed under the name uncultured organism. RNAcentral's name for it is "partial 16S ribosomal RNA". It matches the Rfam family "Bacterial small subunit ribosomal RNA", at positions 527 to 896 of the family's 1533-position model. The record is from RNAcentral.
GUAGGUGGCAAGCGUUGUCCGGAAUUAUUGGGCGUAAAGCGCGCGCAGGCGGUUCUUUAAGUCUGAUGUGAAAGCCCACGGGCUCAACCGUGGAGGGUCAUUGGAAACUGGAGAACUUGAGUACAGAAGAGGAAAGCGGAAUUCCACGUGUAGCGGUGAAAUGCGUAGAGAUGUGGAGGAACACCAGUGGCGAAGGCGGCUUUCUGGUCUGUAACUGACGCUGAGGCGCGAAAGCGUGGGGAGCAAACAGGAUUAGAUACCCUGGUAGUCCACGCCGUAAACGAUGAGUGCUAAGUGGUUAGGGGGUUUCCCGCCCCCUUAGUGCUGCAGCUAACGCAUUAAGCACUCCGCCUGGGGAGUACGGCCGCAAGGCUG